Vicugna pacos (alpaca) is the source of this 1177-nucleotide non-coding RNA. Lineage: Eukaryota; Metazoa; Chordata; Mammalia; Artiodactyla; Camelidae. The record is from RefSeq and is a predicted model, not a curated record.
UUGUGUACGUUUAUUUGUAGGCACCAUACUGGGCAUACCUUCUGUAUGCACUGGGACUCUUCAUCUACCAGUCACUGGAUGCUAUUGAUGGGAAACAAGCCAGAAGAACAAAUUCUUGUUCUCCUUUAGGGGAACUUUUUGACCAUGGUUGUGACUCUCUCUCCACGGUAUUUAUGGCAGUUGGAGCUUCAAUUGCUGUUCGCUUAGGAACUCAUCCCGACUGGUUGUUUUUCUGCUCUUUUAUUGGGAUGUUCAUAUUUUAUUGUGCUCAUUGGCAGACUUAUGUUUCAGGCGUGUUGAGAUUUGGAAAAGUGGAUGUAACUGAAAUUCAGGUAACUGUAUUGAUUAUCUUUGUGUUGUCGACAUUUGGAGGAGCAACAAUAUGGGACUAUACGAUACCCAUCCUAGAAAUAAAGUUGAAGAUCUUACCGGUUCUUGGAGUAUUAGGUGGAACAAUAUUUUCCUGUUCAAAUUAUUUCCAUGUUAUCCUCCAUGGUGGUGUUGGCAAGAAUGGAUCCACUAUAGCAGGCACCAGUGUCUUGUCACCUGGACUCCACAUAGGAAUAAUUAUUAUACUGGCAAUAAUGAUCUAUAAAAAGUCAGCAACUAAUUUGUUUGAAAAGCAUCCUUGUCUUUAUACCCUAAUGUUUGGAUGUGUCUUUGCCAAAGUCGCACAAAAAUUAGUGAUAGCUCACAUGACCAAAAGUGAACUGUAUCUUCAAGACACUGUCUUUUUUGGCCCAGGUCUUUUAUUUUUAGACCAGUACUUUAAUAAUUUUGUAGACGAAUAUAUUGUUCUAUGGAUAGCAAUGGUCAUUUCUUCAUUUGAUAUGAUGAGGUACUUUAGUGCUUUGUGCCUGCAGAUUUCAAGACACCUUCAUUUAAAUAUCUUCAAGACUUCAUCUCAUCAAGCACCUGAACAGGUUCACGAGCAUAUUGACUAAUUGCCCAAGGAAAAGAGGAGAAGCAGUUAGGGGAACCUAUGAGUGAAGGAAAUUCCCCCUUUGCAGGAGGUUCAAGUUCUUCCUUCAAAGAGUCAUCAGAAUAACAUGGAUUGAAGAGACUUUCGAACGCUUGCCAUCUCUUGCUGCUGCUGUUACAUGAAAGGAGAUGUUAAACAUUUAAUUUUUAGAUAAGUGUUAUACAUAUUUCAGCAAAUAAAAUAUUUCAGUGCUUA